AUUGAAUUAGUGUAGGCAGCUGAGGUGCUGGGGUUAAAGCACCCAAGAGGGAUUAGAAACACUGGGUUUGAGAACUGGUUCUGUGUUCUUGAAGCAAUUAUUAUACUGCUCCUCCAUCCAUGAUCCUCAGUUUCUUCACCUGAAAAGAAUGGAAAUAAUACACCCUGACUAACGUUUACAAUUCUAUUUGAAGACUCAAAUGAGAUAUUAGAGGAACACGGGGUAGGAAGGAAAUGGAGACACAGCCAACUUUUAAAAGGAUCUGAGCAGUGAGGGAGAGGGUGAGAGCAGGGGUCAUACUUGUAGGGUUUGGUCAAGGGAAUUUUUGUUGCUUUUCUUUUUUUCUUUUUAGGAUCACAGGGACAUGGACAUGCUUGUAAAAACAUAGUCCAAGGGACAUGUCAAAGAAGCCUAAGAAGUUGGAAGACUUUUAGAACAAGGUUCUGAUGGAGGCAGGACAACAUGGAGCAAGGUCAUAGGCAGAAGGAAUUUACUUAAAGAGGAGUAAAAAUAUCUGUUCUGUUACUAGGGUGGAAGAGGGAAGAACACUGCUAGUGCUGAGACUCUUUGAGGAAUGAAGGGGAAAUAAGGAAACUCAUCUUGGAUGGCCUCAACCUUCUUAAUGCAGUCAAACACAUUGUAAGAUCAUCUAUACUAGAUUCUUGUGAAGAAGAAAGGAAGGAAGUAAAGAUAACAGGAAAAGAGGAAGAACAAAAACAAGCAAUGAAAGAAAGAAGGAAAGCAAGAAGGAAGAAAGAAAAAAGGAGGAAGGAGGGAAAGAAAAUAGGAAAGAAGAAAGGAUGAAGAGAAAGAAAGAAAAAGAGAAGGAAUGAGGAAAUAAAGAAAGAAAAAAGGAAGAGAGGAAAGAAGGA
Molecule: long non-coding RNA, 872 nt
Filed under: Monodelphis domestica (gray short-tailed opossum)
Lineage: Eukaryota; Metazoa; Chordata; Mammalia; Didelphimorphia; Didelphidae
Description: lncRNA (ENSMODG00000039501.1)
Source: RNAcentral